UACAUCGGUAGUGCGAUCCAUGAUGGCACUUGUGACAUUAGUCCUUUCGUCCUUUUGGCCCUCACCCAUAUCCAUUAGAAUACGCUUAGGACAGUGUUGUGAGAAUAAAACUCCUCCAUGUGACAUAAAUUCGCUUAUCAAUGCGCGCAAAUCGAUAUUUAAUUAAUAUUAAAGAUCAAAUGUCGCAAUCUCACAAUAUUCUUAACAAGAAUUAUACAAUACUCCAUUUACCUUGUCGUGUACUCCGUUACAUCUUCGUCUACUCUAGAAAACGGCGAAGUCUUAUGGAAAUAGUCUUCGGUAACAGCGGACGACACCGUUAUGGGCU
Molecule: long non-coding RNA, 328 nt
Organism: Vollenhovia emeryi
Lineage: Eukaryota; Metazoa; Arthropoda; Insecta; Hymenoptera; Formicidae
Exons: 3
Source: RefSeq, a predicted model, not a curated record